UUCGACACCUGGGGUGUUGUUCAGUGCGUGUUGUUUCUUCCUCCGACACCUGGGUUGCUUCUCAGUGCUAUCGUGUCUUUGCUACUUCACUCCACAGAGAGGGAGAUAGUGAAGGAAGUGGUGCUGAGAAUUGCGCAUCCGCUUCUGACGACUUUUGGCAAUAUCAGCUGCAAUCGAUUUGCGGCUAAUUCAUCUGGAACAUCUGUAGAUUUUGAAGCUUCACAGCAUAUUUGAGGACAGCGAAAGAGAGAAAAGAAGGAGAAGAGAGAGGGGAAAAUCUUGAUUAAAACUAAUCAAGCCAACCAAUAAAAUUGUAACAUUCCUGCUAUAGGAUUAUAUCCAGUGCUUUCCGUGUUGAAUAACCGCAGUUUCUCCCUAGAAGAUUACAUUUGUCAUCAAAACUUGGUAACUAAAGACUCACACUUGGUCAGGAUAAAACUAAAUGUUCAAUCCUUCGAAUCAUUACUUUCACCAAUAGUACUAUCUCCUACAAUCGAAAACCUAUGCAUCCAAGCUAGCCAGCAAAAUUUAGUUAGGGCUAUAAAUGAGUUCCAACAAAGUUUAGCUGACUGGUUUGAAUGGAUCGGUUCUCGACAGUGGCACAUAGUAAGAAUCAGUUACGCCAGAAUAUCAAGUAAAACCAACUGUCCACAGCUUAAGGACCACUAUCAGCUUUGAUGAAGCUGCACUUGCACAAAUUCCUCAAGCAACCAUCACAAGUUGGCACAAUCCAGCAAAUUAAUCUAGCAGCUGCAUUCACAACAACUUUUUAGCUGCUACAUUCAUUUGCUAAAGCCACUGCAAUAUUAAUAUUGAUCUGCCUGAAGUAGCAAGAAAUUUAUACCUUCCGAUACUAUUAUAUUCAGUUCUCCACAAAUCCUCUUUAGUUACUGCAAGGUAGCACAGAGAUAUCAUCAAUUUCAGCGAUCAAAAAGAUAAACUUUCCUCAAACUUUGCAAUUAGCAAGAUCUGUGAAACACAUUGACAAAGCUAGCCAUAAUAUUUCAGUCACAAUCAAGUUAUAAAACAGGUGUAGCCAAUGAAAUACAUCUACUCCACUGCUUAUAUCAGUUCUUUGCCCUGAUAUACACUUCUUUACCUUCGUUUACUCACUGUUAAACCUGACUGCCUAUGGUAGCACUAAGGUACCCUUUUAUUCGUUUCUGCAUGUUUAUUCCAACCUUUGGUAGUUGAUCAAGGAUAUGAACUAUGUUAUUUGGUGUGAGCUUCAAAAAUUUGUCGCUCUCUUUUUUCCAUUUUAAAAUCCAUCUUUUAUUUUUUUGGUAGCAUUUUUGAACACAAUUUGUACUAAGCUUUCAUUCGAUCAACCAAACACAUUAAGCAAUAGGUUCUAAGACAUUAAACGCAAGUAUGACAAGCUACUAACUAGCUGAUCACAUAUUUAUACAAUCCAAGACAUUCUCUUCACUUCUCCAAUCUUUGACCACAUAUAUUCUUCGUAUUUCAAAACCAAAUCAACUACAGCAAUGAAUUUGCAAUCAUACUUCUGAAUUUCUUCUUCAAUUUGCUACCUUACUGUACUUUUAAUUUAAAAGUCUACAAUAGACAGUUAAUUGAGAAUGGUUGAAAACUUCACAAAUUUUGUCAUCUGCAUUUUGCUACAGGAAUAUCAUAUGCAAAGAGUAAUUUGCUCUGGAUAAUGUUUGUAUGAAGUAAUUUGCUCAAUAUCCUUAGAGUCAUUUACAUGUGCAGUAAUCCGAGGUACUAGCCUUGCACAAAGUCAAAGAACAUCCAGUAUGAUCAUCUUCUGUUUGCAGUUGGACUUUGUCACCAACUCAUUGAUAUUACAUAAUCAGUUAUAGGCCCAGUGACACAUUGUAACCCUCCACUUGAAUUCAUUUAUUGUAAUGGAAAAAUUGUGCCUGACCUCAAAUGGAAGUUGGUAAGGUGUACUUGAGCUCAAAACGUAUGUAAAGACAGUUACACCGGAAUGAGAUGGAGAUUCAAUUAGAACAUUACUUCAUACAAACAUUGUGCUAUAUAAUGUUAUCAAAUCAACAAUAUUCUUAUG
Long non-coding RNA from Rosa rugosa (rugosa rose), 2032 nucleotides. RefSeq lists it as uncharacterized. The transcript is spliced from 8 exons. The record is from RefSeq and is a predicted model, not a curated record. Lineage: Eukaryota; Viridiplantae; Streptophyta; Magnoliopsida; Rosales; Rosaceae.